This 3534-nucleotide long non-coding RNA is filed under the name Canis lupus familiaris (dog). RNAcentral's name for it is "lncRNA (ENSCAFG00000052791.1)". Lineage: Eukaryota; Metazoa; Chordata; Mammalia; Carnivora; Canidae. The record is from RNAcentral.
UUUUUUUUUUUUUUUUUUUAACAACCACUCUUUUGAAUCAAGUCUAGAAGGAACCUGAUUGGAAUGUUCACGUGGUAACACCUGUCAUUACACUAAGAUCUUAAUAUUAAUAUUUGUUGAAUGAUACUGAGGAGAAAGGAGUGUGGGUUAAAAAUCAGAUGUUACCAUUGUUGAACAUGCAGUUAGUGCUCUUUUCUGGUUCAACACAAAUAAUACCUAAAACAAUAAAAUCUGAAUAUUUAGAGGGUUUAAUAUAUUCAUUUAAAAACAUCUCAACCCCAAGGUUCACAUAUUACUUGCUAAAACUGAUGGUUAUCACCUUGUAUUUUACAAAAGAUUUUACUUAUUUAUUUCUAUCUAUCUGAGAGAGACAGACAGACAGAGACAGCCAGAGUAGAAGGGGUAGAGGAAGGAGAAAGAAAAUCCCAAGUAGACUCCACGAUGAGCAUGGAGCCCAACGUAGGGCUUGAUCCCCAGGACCCUGAAAUCAUGACUUAAGCUGAAAUCAAGAGUCUGAUGCUUAACCCAGAUGCCCCUCUGUUAUCACCUUUUAAAUUGCUAUUUGGUUCAAGAGCAUGUCAAUCUGAGGUACAUUUUACACCCCUGCUUCCAAACUGCUCAUAUUUCUUAAAAUUAUAAGCAUUAUGUUGCUCAUCAAGAGAUUAAGAUUAGUUUUUCUCUCUAUUCCUCUAAAUUGGCCUGCUAGCUAGAAGACGGAUUUCUUUUGUUUCCUGCUAUAUACCAGAUGCCUAAGACAGGACCAGGCACAGGGUGGUCAACAAACACAUGAUGGAUUGAUGGCUGAAUGAAUGAGUGAAUAAAUGAGUGAAUGAAUGAAUGAAUGAAUGAAUGAACAAACAUACUUCUCCAGCUUCUUGACCCCGAGUUCCUACUCAAGCACUUUAAUGUUCCUUAGUACUUUGCAUUUUAAGUUUACGAAAUAUAAGCUCAGUGUUUUCAAAUGGCCACUCCUAUUCUAUGUGUUAUAUUUAUAACAAGGAAAUUAAACACAUUGCCCUGAGAGGAAAUAUUCCACAAGUCAGCAUUUAACAAUGGAAAAUCUUUUACUUGAAUCAAUGGUCUGAAACUUCAACUAUCUAAUACUCCACUGGCCAAAUCAAUCUCUCAUUUUUCACCCUGAGUCUCUGUGAGUAGGUGCUGUAUUGUUGUUAUCAAAUGCCUUUUGGAGUGAGUCACUGCUGACCACCAUGUUUACUCAUUUGGUCUCUUCUCAGUAUUAGAUUUUUUAAAACAACAACAAACAGAAAAGGAAUGACAACCCACAAGUUCUCUUACUUUAAGAAGAAAAAGCACCACAGAAAUAUUUUUACAAUGAGCAAGAAGCACAUUAUUCCAACAGUAUUUUUAAUAUAAGGGUCAAAAAAAAAUAAGAUGAAAUAAACCAAAUGAGGUCAAAGGUAAAUAAAAUUUAAACUUUUAAAGCCAGGAUACAGGGUGAUUUCUUUUUUAAAUCCCUAUUUCUCCUAGGCCUACUGGCAGAUAUUAGUAAUUUCAGAUUUUAUGUCAUCUUCAAAUUAAACAAGUCGGUUUUUUUGUUUGUUUUUGAAGUAAAAACAGAGUUAGAAAAACACCAGAGCUACCUCUUGAUCAUCCGGCUGAAGGAAAUGAACUGCUGCCGUGUUCCUAACCAUCUGCCUCACCUCCUGCCCUUGGUCUUUCAAAGACCAUCCACCGGGGAUCCCUGGGUGGCUCCGCGGUCUAGCGCCUGCCUUUGGCCCCGGCGCGAUCCGAUCGGGGACUGCGGGGCUGCGGGGCUGCGGGAUCCAGGGCGGGAUCCAGUCCUCGGGCUCCCUGCAGGGGGCCCGCUUCCCCCCCUCGGGUCUCUGCCUCUCUCUGUGAGCAUCAUGAAUAAAUAAAUCUUAAAAAAAAUUAAAAUAAUAAAAGCCAACCCACAGGACAAACUGUGCUCUUCAUCCAUUUCCAAAGGCCUCAUUUGCCGGUCAGUCCUACUACUUUAGUACUCGAUGGGGAGGCCGCAAGUGGGAGUGGCUGAAAAAAUCCUACACCCUCAGAGACACAGGUCUGUGCGCAGAAUUAAGAACGUGCUCAUAAACAAAGCAGCAUCUUGAGACAACAGCAGAAAGGAACACUAACCAGGAAGCUGGAGGGCUACUCUCAGCACCAAGCCUUGGCGGUAAUUACCUAGUUUUACUCAUUAGUUCACUCAGGGGCAUGGGGCAUGGCGCACGCGCACCUGGAGCACAAGGAGCCGGAGGAGGAAUCCGCAGCGGCCGCCGGCGGAGGUGACGUCACCCGGGCAGCCAGCCGCAGCCCCGACCCCGACCCCGACCCCGCAGCAUCGCUCACAGGCACGGGGCGGCGGUGCGGGGCCCACCGUGGGUGUGCUCUCAGGGGCUUUAACCACGCACGCAGUGAGGCUAGUGGUGUGUAGGAAGGAAGCAUUUCUAACUAGCCUGGAUCCUCUAUGAAAAUGUUGAGGGGGAAAGGUGGCCAUAAAAUCAAAUUAUAUAAAUGUCAUUUUUACUAAGGCAUAAAGACAUCAAAAUAUAAUGUACUGCUUAUAUUUUUAUGUAAAUAUAUAACUGCCAUUCAAACAUAUAAAAUGCAUGUCAAGUGAAUUAAAUACCAAGAAUAUGGGCAUGCUCACAGACCACCACACGGAAUACAGAUGGGGUUUCAUAGUGCAGUACUGUAAUUUUUACCUAAACCUUUAUGGCUAUAAUAACUGUCAGACUGGUUAAUUUAUCCCUUCACAUAAUUUUAGAAGCAAGAGUCCGUAAUGUAACAUCAUACUCUUAAGGAAGAAAAAGCAGCAUAAGUUUGAUUGAUCCAAGGAAGUAAAGGGCAUUUCAACUUAAAAUAGCUCUGGCUUUUUAAUGUCCUGAGCACAAAACACAGAGGACAAACCAAAAUAACCAAAAGACCAUUAACAAAAAAUAUUUUUAAACUAUUACAUAUAUUUUAAUGUAAAUGAAAUAAUGAAUUUUUAAUUUUGAUGAUCUUAAGUAUGUCUUAGCUACGUAUUCAAGUUUAAUUAAAAACUAUAACAGACCAAUGGAAGGGAAUAUUCUAAUAGUCAAAAAAGUAGUAUUAUUAUUAAAGGGGAUUUUACUGUCCUACAAUCUCAUACACCAAAAAGAACCAUGUACCAGAUGUGCUGUUCAUCUUUGUACCCCCAAGGACCGGCCAUGGCUAAGCAUAGAGAAACUUCAUCCUCAUGUUGGCCUAACACCAAAAGAAAGAACACAUACAUCUGUGCCUCUAAGAGUAUCAGGAGAUGCCUGUGGGGAAAGCGUCCACACUGUACUCUGGGACUCCAGUCACCCAUCCUAAGCCACAUGUAUCCACACAGAUAUAGACAUGUGCCUACUUAUUCUGUGAUACCUACUCCAAGGAAGGCUUGCUGUAUGUAAAGAAGCAGCCUCUCUGAAAAGCUAGUUAGAAACUUAGUUUGUAUCAAAUGAUCCACAGAGAUACAACUGAUAGAAAUUGAUCACUGUCAAAUGAAAUGAUUUAGAUCAAAUCAUCCAAGAUUGACUGCUAAAAGAAACC